CGGGGUGUGGCUCAGCUUGGUAGAGCGCUUGGUUCGGGACUAAGAGGUCGCGCGUUCGAAUCGCGUCACCCCGA
Molecule: transfer RNA, 74 nt
Filed under: Alistipes sp.
Lineage: Bacteria; Pseudomonadati; Bacteroidota; Bacteroidia; Bacteroidales; Rikenellaceae
Also listed under: 3 other names
Description: tRNA-Pro
Rfam family: tRNA
About the family: Transfer RNA (tRNA) molecules are approximately 80 nucleotides in length. Their secondary structure includes four short double-helical elements and three loops (D, anti-codon, and T loops). Further hydrogen bonds mediate the characteristic L-shaped molecular structure. tRNAs have two regions of fundamental functional importance: the anti-codon, which is responsible for specific mRNA codon recognition, and the 3' end, to which the tRNAs corresponding amino acid is attached (by aminoacyl-tRNA synthetases). tRNAs cope with the degeneracy of the genetic code in two manners: having more than one tRNA (with a specific anti-codon) for a particular amino acid; and 'wobble' base-pairing, i.e. permitting non-standard base-pairing at the 3rd anti-codon position.
Source: RNAcentral